UACGUAGGGUGCAAGCGUUAAUCGGAAUUACUGGGCGUAAAGCGUGCGCAGGCGGUAAUGUAAGACAGGGGUGAAAUCCCCGGGCUUAACCUGGGAACUGCAUUUGUGACUGCAUUGCUGGAGUGCGGCAGAGGGGGAUGGAAUUCCGCGUGUAGCAGUGAAAUGCGUAGAUAUGCGGAGGAACACCGAUGGCGAAGGCAAUCCCCUGGGCCUGCACUGACGCUCAUGCACGAAAGCGUGGGGAGCAAACAGG
This 253-nucleotide ribosomal RNA is filed under the name uncultured bacterium. Its description in RNAcentral is "partial 16S ribosomal RNA". It matches the Rfam family "Bacterial small subunit ribosomal RNA", at positions 524 to 776 of the family's 1533-position model. The record is from RNAcentral.